RNAcentral lists this ribosomal RNA (492 nucleotides) under uncultured bacterium. RNAcentral describes it as "partial 16S ribosomal RNA". It matches the Rfam family "Bacterial small subunit ribosomal RNA", at positions 30 to 507 of the family's 1533-position model. The record is from RNAcentral.
AUUGAACGCUGGCGGCAUGCUUUACACAUGCAAGUCGAACGGUUGCAGGCCUCUUGCUGCUGGCGUCAGGGGCGGGCGGGUGUAUAAUGCCUAGACAUAUCCCGGGUAGGGGGGUAACACGUCGAGAACUGGGCUAUAAUAGCACGUACUCUGUGAGGGAGAGCGUGGGGGCGCGUCGCACCUUAUGCCCUCAGGCCUUUCGAGCUCGCUAGGUCGGAUUAGCUAGUUGGUGGGGUAAAGGCCUACCAAGGCGACGAUCCGUAACUGGUCUGAGAGGAUGAUCAGUCACACUGGAACUGAGACACGGUCCAGACUCCUACGGGAGGCAGCAGUGGGGAAUAUUGGACAAUGGGCGAAAGCCUGAUCCAGCCAUGCCGCGUGUGUGAAGAAGGUCUUCGGAUUGUAAAGCACUUUAAGUUGGGAGGAAGGGCAGUAAGUUAAUACCGUGCUGUAUUGACGUUACCAACAGAAUAAGCACCGGCUAACUUCGUG